AUGUCUGGGAAACUGCCUGAUGGAGGGGGAUAACUACUGGAAACGGUAGCUAAUACCGCAUAACGUCGCAAGACCAAAGAGGGGGACCUUCGGGCCUCUUGCCAUCGGAUGUGCCCAGAUGGGAUUAGCUAGUAGGUGGGGUAACGGCUCACCUAGGCGACGAUCCCUAGCUGGUCUGAGAGGAUGACCAGCCACACUGGAACUGAGACACGGUCCAGACUCCUACGGGAGGCAGCAGUGGGGAAUAUUGCACAAUGGGCGCAAGCCUGAUGCAGCCAUGCCGCGUGUAUGAAGAAGGCCUUCGGGUUGUAAAGUACUUUCAGCGGGGAGGAAGGGAGUAAAGUUAAUACCUUUGCUCAUUGACGUUACCCGCAGAAGAAGCACCGGCUAACUCCGUGCCAGCAGCCGCGGUAAUACGGAGGGUGCAAGCGUUAAUCGGAAUUACUGGGCGUAAAGCGCACGCAGGCGGUUUGUUAAGUCAGAUGUGAAAUCCCCGGGCUCAACCUGGGAACUGCAUCUGAUACUGGCAAGCUUGAGUCUCGUAGAGGGGGGUAGAAUUCCAGGUGUAGCGGUGAAAUGCGUAGAGAUCUGGAGGAAUACCGGUGGCGAAGGCGGCCCC
RNAcentral lists this ribosomal RNA (619 nucleotides) under Escherichia coli. Its description in RNAcentral is "bacterial SSU rRNA". It matches the Rfam family "Bacterial small subunit ribosomal RNA", at positions 113 to 728 of the family's 1533-position model. Lineage: Bacteria; Pseudomonadati; Pseudomonadota; Gammaproteobacteria; Enterobacterales; Enterobacteriaceae. The record is from RNAcentral.